RNAcentral lists this ribosomal RNA (403 nucleotides) under uncultured bacterium. RNAcentral describes it as "partial 16S ribosomal RNA". It matches the Rfam family "Bacterial small subunit ribosomal RNA", at positions 338 to 733 of the family's 1533-position model. The record is from RNAcentral.
CCUACGGGUGGCAGCAGUGGGGAAUAUUGCGCAAUGGGCGAAAGCCUGACGCAGCGACGCCGCGUGAGGGAUGAAGGUCUUCGGAUCGUAAACCUCUGUCAGCAGGGAAGAACGGUCACUGUGUUAAUCAGCAGUGAAUUGACGGUACCUGCAAAGGAAGCACCGGCUAACUCCGUGCCAGCAGCCGCGGUAACACGGAGGGUGGGAGCGUUAAUUGGAAUUACUGGGGGUAAAGCGCUCGUAGGCGGUAUGUCAAGUCAAGGGUGAAAUCCCCGGGCUCAACGUGGGGACUGCCUUUGAAACUGGCAAGCUGGAGUGUGUGAGAGGAUAGUGGAAUUCCAAGUGUAGGGGUGAAAUCCGUAGAUAUCUGGAAGAACAUCAGUGGCGAAGGCGGCUUUCUGGC